GAAAGGCGGGCUAAACCCGCGUACAUGCCACCGGGGCAUCCCGGAGGCAGGAAAGGCUUCGGCCGGACAGGGAUGGGCAUGCGGCGCAUUAGGCAGUAGGCGGGGUAACGGCCCACCUAACCGACGAUGCGUAGGGGUUCUGAGAGGAAGGUCCCCCACACUGGUACUGAGACACGGACCAGACUCCUACGGGAGGCAGCAGUGAGGAAUAUUGGUCAAUGGUCGGGAGACUGAACCAGCCAAGCCGCGUGGGGGAGGAAGGUACAGAGUAUCGUAAACCUCUUUUGUCAGGGAACAAAGACUGGGACGCGUCCCCGGAUGAGUGUACCUGAAGGAAAAGCAUCGGCUAACUCCGUGCCAGCAGCCGCGGUAAUACGGAGGAUGCGAGCGUUAUCCGGAUUUAUUGGGUUUAAAGGGUGCGCAGGCGGUCUGUUAAGUCAGCGGUCAAAGCCCGGGGCUCAACCCCGGCCCGCCGUUGAAACUGGCAGUCUCGAGUUGGAGAGAAGUAUGCGGAAUGCGCGGUGUAGCGGUGAAAUGCAUAGAUAUCGCGCAGAACUCCGAUUGCGAAGGCAGCAUGCCGGCUCCACACUGACGCUGAGGCACGAAAGCGUGGGUAUCGAACAGGAUUAGAUACCCUGGUAGUCC
Molecule: ribosomal RNA, 645 nt
Filed under: uncultured bacterium
Lineage: Bacteria
Description: bacterial SSU rRNA
Rfam family: Bacterial small subunit ribosomal RNA
Source: RNAcentral